Molecule: ribosomal RNA, 253 nt
Filed under: uncultured bacterium
Lineage: Bacteria
Description: partial 16S ribosomal RNA
Rfam family: Bacterial small subunit ribosomal RNA
Source: RNAcentral
UACAGAGGGGGCAAGCGUUAUUCGGAAUUAUUGGGCGUAAAGCGCGCGCAGGCGGUCCUUUAGGUCUGAUGUGAAAGCCCACGGCUCAACCGAGGAACUGCGUCUGAUACUGGAAGGCUUGAAUCCGGGAGAGGGAUGUGGAAUUCCAGGUGUAGCGGUGAAAUGCGUAGAUAUCUGGAGGAACACCGGUGGCGAAGGCAGGUCUCUGGGCAUUAACCGACGCUGAGGAGCGAAAGCAUGGGGAGCGAACAGG